GGAUCCAGACUUUGAUCAUGGCUCAGGAUGAACGCUAGCUACAGGCUUAACACAUCCAAGUCGAGGGGAAACGAUAUUGGAAGCUUGCUUCCGAUAGGCGUCGACCGGCGCACGGGUGAGUAACGCGUAUCCAACCUGCCCACCACUUGGGGAUAACCUUGCGAGAGUAAGACUAAUACCCAAUGAUAUCUCUAGAAGACAUCUGAAAGGGAUUAAAGAUUUAUCGGUGAUGGAUGGGGAUGCGUCUGAUUAGCUUGUUGGCGGGGUAACGGCCCACCAAGGCGACGAUCAGUAGGGGUUCUGAGAGGAAGGUCCCCCACAAUGGAACUGAGACACGGUCCAAACUCCUACGGGAGGCAGCAGUGAGGAAUAUUGGUCAAUGGACGAGAGUCUGAACCAGCCAAGUAGCGUGCAGGAUGACGGCCCUAUGGGUUGUAAACUGCUUUUAUAAGGGAAUAAAGUGAGCUACGUGUAGCUUUUUGCAUGUACCUUAUGAAUAAGGACCGGCUAAUUCCGUGCCAGCAGCCGCGGUAAUACGGAAGGUCCGGGCGUUAUCCGGAUUUAUUGGGUUUAAAGGGAGCGUAGGCCGGAGAUUAAGCGUGUUGUGAAAUGUAGAUGCUCAACAUCUGCACUGCAGCGCGAACUGGUUUCCUUGAGUACGCACAAAGUGGGCGGAAUUCGUGGUGUAGCGGUGAAAUGCUUAGAUAUCACGAAGAACUCCGAUUGCGAAGGCAGCUCACUGGAGCGCAACUGACGCUGAAGCUCGAAAGUGCGGGUAUCGAACAGGAUUAGAUACCCUGGUAGUCCGCACGGUAAACGAUGGAUGCCCGCUGUUGGUCUGAAUAGGUCAGCGGCCAGGCGAAAGCAUUAAGCAUCCCACCUGGGGAGUACGCC
This 894-nucleotide ribosomal RNA is filed under the name uncultured Bacteroidota bacterium. RNAcentral describes it as "bacterial SSU rRNA". It matches the Rfam family "Bacterial small subunit ribosomal RNA", at positions 1 to 886 of the family's 1533-position model. Lineage: Bacteria; Pseudomonadati; Bacteroidota. The record is from RNAcentral.